ACCCACUUGGAAUUCGAGGCCCGGGCUUUUAAUAAGGUCCCUGUUGUGAAAGGCCGCAGCUGCGGAUGGUCGUGCCUCCCAGCCCCACACCCACCUGCGCACCGCUCCGGAGAUGCUCCCCUUGGAAAGUUAUUACAACAGAUCUUUACCGUGCUCCUGAAAAUGACAUUUUGGGAUUUGAAGAGAAACUAGACCGGCUGACACCUGUAGCUGAAGGAAGAUUGCCUUAAAGCGCAGACUCCUCGGCUCCACCGAGAGAUGCUUGCUCCUCCUCUCACAAGUCUGGCACCUUCAGCGCAUCCUGAGUAAGUGAAGCAUCUCCCUGGAGUCGGCAUGUUUUCUAAAGAUAACAGAUAACACUGUGUAGUAUAAACUCAUUUUUUCACCCAGUCGAAGUAAAAUGAGAUAGACUCAGUUCAAUCCCGUGGUUUCAGGUGGCUCUAUGGCUUAGUUGGUUAAAGCGCCUGUCUCGUAAACAGGAGAUCCUGGGUUCGACUCCCAGUAGGGCCUUGUGUUUUCCCAGGAAAUCAACCCUUUCUGAAGACCAUUUUGUUAGCGAGUUAACCGUGUCUUCUUACUGAUCCCCGGAAAGUCUCAGGAAACUUACAGCGGUGGAGCCCAACCGGAUACAUUGCAAAUUGCUUGAUUGCAACCUGCUCAGAUUCUUUUGAAAAGAAGUAGAUUCUUAAGGAAACGGCGAUUCAAAUGCAAACCACCACCAGAGAAUAGUGCAUGUGACCUUACCUCAAUCACGUUUCACAUAAAUUUUGCCUUAAACUGUAGCAAAAUGUUUUUGAGCACCUACAAUGUGUUACAGUUUAAAGCAUCCUGACAGGUAGAUAUGUAUAAUCUCUAUAGAUUCUAACAGUCUCCAACUCUGUAAUUGAUUUCACAAAAUUAGGUAAAUUAAUGAACUAUGAAUCCACUAAUACCUACAAAGGAAAAUUAAGAUGUUUGCAGGCGAAUGCUUGCCAUUUUGAAGGGGCGGUGAGGAAGAACAAUUACAUUCCCAUUUAAUCCUGUUAAGGAAAAAACUGGAAAGCUUAAGGAAUGAUGAUCAACCAGGAACUAGAAUGUUCUUGACAUGAGCACUCCCAGAGCCAGGACAAAGUUGCCGUGAGAAAAAAGCAGUUAGGAGAAUUCUGCCAGAUAUCUAAAGCAAUUUGGUUUCAGCCCUAGAUAUUUAUUUAUUCUAUGUCUUUUUGUCUCUCAUUCAUUCAUCCAUUAAUCCAGCAAUAUUAACUGCUGGUCUUUUAUGUGCCAGGCAUAUUUCUUGUGCCUUUGACCACUUUCACCCAUUUCACCCACCCCCCAUCCAUGCCUCUGGUAACCACCUCAGGCAUAUUUCUAAGGGCAGGAAAUAUAACAGUGAUCAAAGUUAACAAAAAUGACUACUCUCAUGGAUCUUACAUUCUGGUGGAGGUGACACAGAAAAUAAAGAAAUGAAUAUGCAAAAUAAGCAAGCGUAUGAGAUACUGAUGAAGUCUACAGAGAAAAAUAGAGCAAGGAAAGAGUAUGGGGAGUGUAUAGGGUGGGGCAGAGUAAUCAGAGAGCAUCAGCCUGUCUCUUGGAUAAAAUCACUGGCAAAUGUUUCAAAAUUAUUUUUUUCACUUUUUAAUGAGAAAUAGUCACAAAGUGGCUACUACAUUAAUCUAAGUACCAUGAAUGGCAGGAUUAAAUAAUCAGAAAAUUGUCCCCCAACUAUGCCUGGACCUCACCUCUGUUCAUUUUAAUUAGGACUCUUGAACUAGGUUACACUGCCUGUAUUCAAACUUCAGCUACUCCACUAGCUGAGGGACCUUUGGCAACUUACUUUACCUCAAUGGGCAUCACUUUCCUCAUAUGUGAAAAGGAAAUAGUGAGAGACCUCCCUAAUAGAGUCAAUGGGAGGACUUAAUGAGCAAUUUCACAUAAAAUAUUUUUAAAGGAUAUCUGGCACAUAAAUAAGCAAUCAAUAAAGUACACUAUAUUGUGCUAAUCAUUGUUUGUAUUUAUUGAAUAAUUGCUUGGGGUCAAAUGUAAAACUCUUGCAACAAUAUUCUGAGGUAUUAUUCUAAACUUACAGAUAAGAGUUCCAAGC
This 2080-nucleotide transfer RNA is filed under the name Equus caballus (horse). RNAcentral describes it as "lncRNA (ENSECAG00000057264.1)". The stretch from base 437 to 510 matches the Rfam family "tRNA". Lineage: Eukaryota; Metazoa; Chordata; Mammalia; Perissodactyla; Equidae. The record is from RNAcentral.